Molecule: ribosomal RNA, 390 nt
Filed under: Rhodococcoides corynebacterioides
Lineage: Bacteria; Bacillati; Actinomycetota; Actinomycetes; Mycobacteriales; Nocardiaceae
Description: bacterial SSU rRNA
Rfam family: Bacterial small subunit ribosomal RNA
Source: RNAcentral
GUCGAACGGUAAGGCCCUUCGGGGUACACGAGUGGCGAACGGGUGAGUAACACGUGGGUGAUCUGCCCUGCACUUCGGGAUAAGCCCGGGAAACUGGGUCUAAUACCGGAUAGGACUGCGCGGUGCAUGCCGUGUGGUGGAAAGAUUUAUCGGUGCAGGAUGGGCCCGCGGCCUAUCAGCUUGUUGGUGGGGUAAUGGCCUACCAAGGCGACGACGGGUAGCCGGCCUGAGAGGGCGACCGGCCACACUGGGACUGAGACACGGCCCAGACUCCUACGGGAGGCAGCAGUGGGGAAUAUUGCACAAUGGGCGCAAGCCUGAUGCAGCGACGCCGCGUGAGGGAUGACGGCCUUCGGGUUGUAAACCUCUUUCAGCUGGGUCGAAGCGUGA